AACUCCCUGAAACAGCUCAGCCUACUCAGCUAAGGGGACAAAAACACAAAACAGCAGGAUUACAGCUGUGGCUGGAGACACAAAAGACACUGUGCUCCUGAACCCCUUGCAGUCAGUCACCUUGGAUUCCAGGAACUUUGCAGGGUAGUACUGUCUACGUGCUACAUUUUAUGACUUGUAUGGUACUUCCAUCAUGGAGUCAGUUGUACUAAGAUGGAGGGGCUUACUAAGGUCUGGGGCCUUAUUACAAGGUUACUGCUGCCCAUUAGAGCCCAUCAUAACUGCCUUUUCCUCCCUUGGGUGCUGGAGCUGCUGAAUUCUGGACCCCUGGAAGAACAGCAUGUAUCCUUAGCUACUGAGUCAUCUUUCCAGCAUCAUUUCCUCCUUUAUAACACAUAUUAAUGCUGUCAUUUUAAUAAAGUCUUUGUUAU
This 431-nucleotide long non-coding RNA is filed under the name Mus pahari (shrew mouse). RNAcentral's name for it is "predicted gene 11381 (MGP_PahariEiJ_G0004766.1)". The record is from RNAcentral. Lineage: Eukaryota; Metazoa; Chordata; Mammalia; Rodentia; Muridae.